RNAcentral lists this ribosomal RNA (318 nucleotides) under uncultured bacterium. RNAcentral describes it as "bacterial SSU rRNA". It matches the Rfam family "Bacterial small subunit ribosomal RNA", at positions 692 to 918 of the family's 1533-position model. The record is from RNAcentral.
UGAGACAGUUCGGUCCCUAUCCGCUGCGCGCUUUAAUGGGCGAACAGCCCAACCCUUGGGACCUACUCCAGCCCCAGGAUGCGACGAGCCGACAUCGAGGUGCCAAACCAUGCCGUCGAUAUGGUCUCUGGGCAUUAACUGACGCUGAGGAGCGAAAGCAUGGGGAGCGAACAGGAUUAGAUACCCUGGUAGUCCAUGCCGUAAACGUUGGGCACUAGAUGUGGGGACAUUCCACGUUUUCCGCGUCGUAGCUAACGCAUUAAGUGCCCCGCCUGGGGAGUACGGCCGCAAGGCUAAAACUCAAAGGAAUUGACGGGG